GAUGAAGAACGUAGCGAAAUGCGAUAAGUAAUGUGAAUUGCAGAAUUCAGUGAAUCAUCGAAUCUUUGAACGCACCUUGCGCCCUUUGGCCAUUCCGAAGGGCAUGCCUGUUUGAGUAUCAUGAACACCUCAACUCUUUAUGGUUUUCCAUGAUGAGCUUGGACUCUGGGGGUUUUGCUGGCUCACAGUCGGCUCCUCUAAAAUGAAUCAGCUUACCAGUGUUUGGUGGGUAUCAUGGGUGUGAUAACUAUCUACGCUUGUGGUUUUUCCACCAGGUAACCUUCAGCAGUGGAGGUUCGCUGGAGCUCAUAGAUGUCUCUCCACAGUGAGGACAGCCCUUUGAAUGUUUGAUCUCAAAUCAGGUAGGACUACCCGCUGAACUUAAGCAUAUCAAUAAGCGGAGGA
This 405-nucleotide unclassified non-coding RNA is filed under the name soil metagenome. RNAcentral describes it as "partial contains 5.8S ribosomal RNA, internal transcribed spacer 2, and large subunit ribosomal RNA". The stretch from base 1 to 121 matches the Rfam family "5.8S ribosomal RNA", at positions 35 to 154 of the family's 154-position model. The record is from RNAcentral.